RNAcentral lists this ribosomal RNA (497 nucleotides) under uncultured bacterium. RNAcentral describes it as "partial 16S ribosomal RNA". It matches the Rfam family "Bacterial small subunit ribosomal RNA", at positions 28 to 507 of the family's 1533-position model. The record is from RNAcentral.
GAUGAACGCUGGCGGCGUGCCUAAUACAUGCAAGUCGAGCGAACAGACGAGGAGCUUGCUCCUCUGACGUUAGCGGCGGACGGGUGAGUAACACGUGGAUAACCUACCUAUAAGACUGGGAUAACUUCGGGAAACCGGAGCUAAUACCGGAUCAUAUAUUGAACCGCAUGGUUCAAUAGUGAAAGACGGUUUUGCUGUCACUUAUAGAUGGAUCCGCGCCGCAUUAGCUAGUUGGUAAGGUAACGGCUUACCAAGGCAACGAUGCGUAGCCGACCUGAGAGGGUGAUCGGCCACACUGGAACUGAGACACGGUCCAGACUCCUACGGGAGGCAGCAGUAGGGAAUCUUCCGCAAUGGGCGAAAGCCUGACGGAGCAACGCCGCGUGAGUGAUGAAGGUCUUCGGAUCGUAAAACUCUGUUAUUAGGGAAGAAAAAAAGUGUAAGUAACUAUGCACGUCUUGACGGUACCUAAUCAGAAAGCCACGGCUAACUACGUG